Long non-coding RNA from Zonotrichia leucophrys gambelii, 2213 nucleotides. RefSeq lists it as uncharacterized. The transcript is spliced from 5 exons. The record is from RefSeq and is a predicted model, not a curated record. Lineage: Eukaryota; Metazoa; Chordata; Aves; Passeriformes; Passerellidae.
GAACAGGAGGGCUAUAAAAACUGAAGGUGCUCGUUCAGAGUUUGUUGCUGGAGGACAAGAGAGGAGUGCUUAGAACUAAAGGAAGGAGAAGACUGAAGUAAGGGCUCCUUACAGCUUCCUCUGUCUAGUUCUGGCAUCCAGGACCUCAGCUGGCUAUGAGCCUUCUUCUGCUGGUUUCACUGGGGCUGGCUUGUGCUAGCUCAUGACACUGCUGGAUGCCUCUGGUUACCUGGGAACUCAAAGCUCUUCACAGCCCCAGUGUCAUGAGGCAAGUUCUGCAGCUUCACUGCUCUGCAUGGGAAGUCUGACAGGGACUGAAAAACAGCUUGGAAGGGCUGAAAGUGCAGUGGGAAAAUUCUGCCCAGCAAUGCCUGCUCUGACCUUCAGUCACCUCCUCACCUUCAGACAUACUGGAGGCCUAAGCAGAAAGGAAAGCAAGCCUUUAACCUAAUUACCCAAUUAUCUUGAGGCCAAUACCUGGCUGCCACAGAGCUUGGUUCCAGUAUCUGCUGCCACUUAGAAGGAAACUGGCUGGAGAUCCUUCCUGUGUAAGGUCCUUGUUGCUCUGGAAUAUCCUUCAAGAUGUUACAAAAACAUACACAGACACAACAUAUACAAAACAGAUAUAUGAUGUCCAGGACAUCUCUGCAGGCCAAAGGACACACUGUGAGGUACCAGUGUACAGGAAAGGACUUGAGAUGAGCUAGCAAAGUACUGUAAUGUUUUCACUGUAACCUGGGCCCCCAUGCUGUGUGGGUGGGAUUAGGACCUGCCUCUUGGGAAUGGUUGUUGCUGCAGAACAUCCCAGUGAUGAGAUGUUGUAGAUAUGGCCUGCUUACAAACCAGCUGGUGAGGCUGAACAAUUAUAAAGGAGCCAUCACACAAGUCUGUUGUCCCAUGCCAGGCUCGCCCUGAAUCACAGCUAUACCUUUUCAGUUUGAUCUUCUCUAGAGCUGGGAUACAUUAGCAUAACCAUUCUUGCAUCUUCUAACAUUCGAAUUUCCAUCUUAGCCUCCUGCAGCCUUGAUCCAAAAGCUUUUCAUAUUUAUACCAGAAAUCAAGGUUUUUAUGUAAGCAGCAGUGAGGGAUUUGGUUUGCAUAUAUAAAUAUACAAUAGUCUCACUACUCUGGCUGCUAGUGCAAAGUGAAUCCAUGACAUGGGUUGUGUUCUCUUAGCUAAAGGCAAAGGCAUAAGUUAACUGACAAUGAAUUAUCCUAUUGUAGAGCCUUCAGGAUGGGGAUUAUCAGUGCUAACACACUGUCUUAUCCUGCAUGCAGUACACAGAGCUGACUUCUUUGGGAGAUUUGGAACACAGGCAAAUGAUAAUGUGGAAAUUCAUUAGGCAGCACCUCAAAGCCCCAAGUGUGUGUGUGUAGUAUCUCAUCCAUUUCAAUGGGAAUCUUGCCUGCAGGAGAAGUAAACUCAUGCAAAUGCUGUUAGAUCAUUUUAAUAGACCAAAAAUCUAAGGGGAUUCAAGGAGUGGCAAGCAUCCCCCUUAAAGACAUCUCACAGCAUAGUAUGUACUUUGGAAUCCAACCCAGAGUAAAUUAAUGUUGGCCUAUCCAGUGACAAGAGUAGCAAGACUGUGAUUUAAAAAAAGGGGACAGAAUAGGGACAAAACUGUAGUUUCAUGUGACAAAGCAAAUCUCUUCACCAGACAUUAGGAUUAAAGUCUGUUAAGAAUUGAAAUAUGUCACCAUCCUGGAGUUUGCGUACCAAAAUUAAUCCUAUUUAGUACAUUAGAUCUUUAUCUAAACCUCUUUGUCCAGAGGAUGAGAGACCUUACCCUGAGAGAAGGAUUUCCAAAUGCCUUCAGUUGCCCUAUCAGUGCUUGUUAUUUGAACAUGGAAGAAAGAAAUCCCCCAAUUUUACAAAUCAAACACUUCUAGGCAUAAGCUGUUCUUGAGGGCUGUCUGUAGGCAAGCUGCUGAAGAAUUAGGGCAAUAAAUCACUGUGCUGCUUUUCCUUACUCCCUCUGUUAGAACCCUGCUUUCAGUGCUCAGAAGGGAUUUCCAGACUACUCUCUUCAACUAGGCAACCCUUCUUAACAUAACAAGUGUUAUGUUAACACAUUAUUAGUGUUGUCUAGCUUACCUUUGCUUUGUUAACACAUUAUUAGUGUUGUCUAGCUUACCUGUGCUCACUUUGAGGCCUGAUCUGACUAAAGGACUGUGAAGAUCUUCAGUGAAUGAAAUCAGGGGUUGUGGCUGAA